GAGACAGCUGGAAGGAGGCAUGGUGGUGGCAGCCAUUUUGUAGGGUGAGAGCACAUGCUGCUGAUCUGCUCACUCACCCCACGGAGGUGAGGCAGCAAGCUGGACCUGCCAUUGCUUUCCCUUCACCCCGGAUCUCCCUUCAGGUUCUCUGCACCCUGGGCCAGGUGUAUACUUGUUCAGCAACAUGACACAGGACCUCAGCUUCUGCAGGAUACCCCCGUGAAGUCCGUGUUGAGUCUGGUCAUCUAUAGCUGCCACAAAGAAGCCCCUCAACAUUCCAGUCUGCCUCAGCCUGGGUCCCAAAGCUCCAAAGCCAAAGAGUCUGAUGAUAAGUUCCAAGGAGCCAUAUACUACUUCAUCGGAGGUCCUGACACCUUGAGGGGUGCAUGGGGCUGGUGCCAUCUCCACUCGCAGAACCUUCCAUCCUCCAAGUCUCAGAGAACUCAGGUCUCUCUGGAUCCAGCUACUUCUCUACCCACUCGUUACCUCCUCCUUGAAAUGAAGAUUCAAAUAAAUACUUGGCAAAGCAGAUUUGAUGAUCGUGUCUGCUUUGCUCAGAGGGAAACAUCCAUCCUCUGCAGUAGCUCUGUGGGCUUCGCCGCAGAGUUAUUCAGUAGCCUCUCCAGAGACUCACAAUGCUCAUGUUCUCCUCGGCUGUAGUACCCUGAAGAGAAGUCUAUUUCCUUCUUCCUGUUAAUAUAAGGAGAAGAGAGUUUCAUGGAAGACUACAGUUAUUUGGACAAUUCUGGGCCUCCUCACUUGAUUUAAGACAAAAAGGAUAGGUACAUUUCAUCAGUAAUAUCUCCAGAGACUAAAAUUUUCAGAGUUUCCUUUCUAAGGGAGAGUUUAAAGAAUCUAGCGCCCCCUCCUCCCCACUUUUUUAAGCUUUUCCUGUGCAAGAGGCUGCUGCUGUUUGUAUUCCGCCACUUAGGUAAUUUCCACUUGAAGCUGGACCCUCAAUUCCUAAGCUAGAAUGCACCACCUUUGCCCUCAUAAUCUUUUUUUUUCAAGGAAAGAGUUGUCCUGAACUAACAUCUGUUGCC
This 1043-nucleotide long non-coding RNA is filed under the name Equus caballus (horse). Its description in RNAcentral is "lncRNA (ENSECAG00000059660.1)". Lineage: Eukaryota; Metazoa; Chordata; Mammalia; Perissodactyla; Equidae. The record is from RNAcentral.